Molecule: ribosomal RNA, 467 nt
Filed under: uncultured bacterium
Lineage: Bacteria
Description: partial 16S ribosomal RNA
Rfam family: Bacterial small subunit ribosomal RNA
Source: RNAcentral
GACGAACGCUGGCGGCGUGCUUAACACAUGCAAGUCGAACGGAAAGGCCCUGCUUUUGUGGGGUGCUCGAGUGGCGAACGGGUGAGUAACACGUGAGUAACCUGCCCUUGACUUUGGGAUAACUUCAGGAAACUGGGGCUAAUACCGGAUAGGAGCUCCUGCUGCAUGGUGGGGGUUGGAAAGUUUCGGCGGUUGGGGAUGGACUCGCGGCUUAUCAGCUUGUUGGUGGGUAGUGGCUUACCAAGGCUUUGACGGGUAGCCGGCCUGAGAGGGUGACCGGCCACAUUGGGACUGAGAUACGGCCCAGACUCCUACGGGAGGCGGCAGUGGGGAAUAUUGCACAAUGGGCGGAAGCCUGAUGCAGCAACGCCGCGUGCGGGAUGACGGCCUUCGGGUUGUAAACCGCUUUCGCCUGUGACGAAGCGUGAGUGACGGUAAUGGGUAAAGAAGCACCGGCUAACUACGUG